UACGGAGGGUGCGAGCGUUGUUCGGAAUUAUUGGGCGUAAAGCGCGCGUAGGCGGCUCGUUAAGUCUCACUGUGAAAGCCCGGGGCUCAACCCCGCGGACUGCAGGGGAUACUGGGGAGCUGGAGACAGGUAGAGGCUAACGGAAUUCCGGGUGUAGCGGUGGAAUGCGUAGAGAUCCGGAAGAACACCAGAGGCGAAGGCGGUUAGCUGGACCUGGUCUGACGCUGAGGCGCGAAAGCGUGGGGAGCGAACAGG
Molecule: ribosomal RNA, 255 nt
Filed under: uncultured bacterium
Lineage: Bacteria
Description: partial 16S ribosomal RNA
Rfam family: Bacterial small subunit ribosomal RNA
Source: RNAcentral